CUUCCUUUCCUCUUUCAGAUAACCACUUGUCCUUGCACUAUUGAUUGAAAACAUCUUUAUCUCCACUGCUCUGCUGUGUUACUUUGUCAUAGUGAAGGGUCUAUACAUGUAUGAGUCUGUUUCAAGAUAUAUGAAGUCUGGGGGUAAGACCUGCAGUAAUUUCCCUUAAGAUAGCACCUUCUCUGCUGUGCUGCCUGUUGCACUCUUGCAAUAUAUCUCUUUGAGUACAACUGUUUUGGGGUGAGGUGAAAACAGGUGUUGAAAUGGGAAUUGUGUGCCUAAAGAAGAGGAAGGAGUCUGGAUACACAGGUAAAUUUUGUAAGCUGGAAACUACCGGUUUCAUAUAUUUUGUUCAUCACCCAAAAAAUUGCAAUAUCAGUUAAGGUUUGUCUUUCAUUGUCUCCCCAAGUGUAAGCAUAUUCCAUUGUUUAAUAGUGUCUGUGUAAGAAGCAUUAAUUUUUUUCAAGGAUAAUUUUUCAAUAUGGCACCUGUUCAAAAACUAAAUUAGACUCUGAGACUGCAGUAUUACUUCCUCUUACAUCACACAGCAUUUCAACGAAAAUGCACAAGAAUGCUUCCAUUGGCAGAAGUUAUAUAUACAUUUUUCGUAGUGUCCUGUUUAGGCAAUUUUUAAAAUAACAGUAGAGGCGUUAAUUGCUAUAGUUACCUCAAAGGCAAAAUCUCAACUUAAAUCCAAUGGCUUGGCUUUGCAUCUUGAUAUAAGUCUUAGGGCAAAUAAUCUAAAGCCAAAAUAUGAUCACAAACUAUUAUUUUGCAUUUUAGCCUAUAUUAGGGAGACAUAAUAAAGUCCACUGGAAGAUGAGCUAUGGAAACACUCUUAAAAGCUGUCAGUCUUAUGUGCUCACUGAUCUUUGAAAGAGGCGAGAUAUAUAUAUAUUUUGG
Molecule: non-coding RNA, 903 nt
Organism: Macaca mulatta (Rhesus monkey)
Lineage: Eukaryota; Metazoa; Chordata; Mammalia; Primates; Cercopithecidae
Source: RefSeq, a predicted model, not a curated record